This 460-nucleotide ribosomal RNA is filed under the name uncultured bacterium. RNAcentral's name for it is "partial 16S ribosomal RNA". It matches the Rfam family "Bacterial small subunit ribosomal RNA", at positions 338 to 795 of the family's 1533-position model. The record is from RNAcentral.
CCUACGGGAGGCAGCAGUGAGGAAUAUUGGUCAAUGGGCGCGAGCCUGCACCAGCCAAGUCGCGUGAGGGAGGACGGCACUACGGGUUGUAAACCUCUUUUGCCGGGGAGCAACGGGCGCCACGUGUGGCGUCACUGAGCGUACCCGGAGAAAAAGCAUCGGCUAACUGCGUGCCAGCAGCCGCUGUACUACGGAGGAUGCGAGCGUUAUCCGGAUUUGUUGGGUGUAAAGGGUGCGUAGGCGGAUCGUUAAGUCAGGGGUCAAAUUGAGGGGAUCAACCCCUUCCAGCCAUUGAAACUGGCGUUCUUGAGUGGAAGAGAAGUAUGCGGAAUGCGUGGUGUAGCGGUGAAAUGCAUAGAUAUCACGCAGAACCCCGAUUGCGAAGGCAGCAUGCCGGCUUCCGACUGACGCUGAAGCACGAAAGCGUGGGGAUCGAACAGGAUUAGAUACCCGGGUAGUC